GCUUACGGCCAUACCACCCGGGAAAUGGCCGAUCACAUCUGAACUCGGAAGUAAAGCAGGGUCGGGCCUGGUUAGUACUUAGAUGGGAGACCGCCUGGGAAUACCAGGUGCUGUAAGCU
This 119-nucleotide ribosomal RNA is filed under the name Danio rerio (zebrafish). The record is from RNAcentral. Lineage: Eukaryota; Metazoa; Chordata; Actinopteri; Cypriniformes; Danionidae.